Molecule: long non-coding RNA, 302 nt
Filed under: Mytilus galloprovincialis (Mediterranean mussel)
Lineage: Eukaryota; Metazoa; Mollusca; Bivalvia; Mytilida; Mytilidae
Source: RNAcentral
GUAGUAAUUAGAUAAUUAAUUGUAUUAUCUAGCUAUGUCCUGCAUUGUAAUGUAUUAUCUAGCUAUGUCCUGCAAAAACCUGGUUUUGUACAACUUAUGUCUGUUUGGCAUGUUGUUUUUAAUUUUGAUUUCUGGAGUUUUCUGGUUUUCCUCUUUAAACAGCGUAGGCAUACCAGUGCGAAGCUUGUACAACAGUUUUACAAACCAUGAUUUUCCAUAUUGAAUGAUUCACUGUAAGUGUAUUGCAAAUCAUAAGGACAAAAAGAAGAGAUAACGACAUGACAUCAUAAGCCAGAAAUCAU